CACACAUCAUCCGACCCAUCACUGCCCACAACACCAAAGACAAGGAGGCAAGGAGAGAACGACUAAUAUCUUUCGUUCUUUAUAUAUUACUCACUGAGAGAUCCCAUUUUCAUCAAAUCAAAAUUUCCCAGAUCCAAAAAUCGCUGCUCAUCUCCCCACUAACAAUGGGAUUCCCAUCAAACGGCACGGCAUCAGAUACCAGCAAGCCACUCAAGUUCCUCAUCUACGGCCGCACCGGCUGGAUAGGUGGUCUCUUGGGGAAGCUCUGCGAGUCUCAGGGCAUCGACUACACCUACGGCUCCGGUCGCCUGGAAAACAGAGUCUCCCUCGAAGCUGACAUCGUCAACGUCAAGCCUAGUCAUGUAUUCAACGCUGCCGGUGUCACUGGCCGGCCUAACGUCGACUGGUGCGAGUCUCACAAGGUCGAGACCAUUCGGACCAAUGUGGUCGGGACGCUCACGUUGGCUGACGUGUGCAGAGAAAAGGGUUUGAUUUUGAUUAAUUAUGCUACGGGCUGUAUUUUCGAGUACGACACGAAUCACCCUCUCGGGUCGGGCAUCGGGUUCAAGGAGGAGGAUACCCCGAAUUUCAUCGGAUCCUUUUACUCGAAGACCAAGGCCAUGGUAAGUAAAUGCUGUGAUUGUUUAAUUUCAUGAUCUAAUAGCAUGAAACGUUAAUUUGAAUCGUAGAUUUGUAAGAAAUAUUAGAUACUAUUAGUUUCAGUAUAGCAAUGUUCUAUGUGAUGUGCUGGAUCUAGCAAUUUCAUGGCGGAUCUAGCUAAGUUUGAUGAUCACUGCAAUUUUCUUUAAUGGGAGAUCUAUGGAUGAUAUGUAGAUUUGACGUAGAAAUGAACAUUUGCAACAAUUGUGAAUAGACAAUGAUGUUAUUUCUCUCAUGUUAUUAAUUGUGUAGUAGUUCUAAUUUGAGUCCUUUUUUGCUAUGUGAAAGGUGGAAGAGUUGCUCAAGAAUUACGAAAAUGUCUGUACCUUGCGUGUCAGAAUGCCCAUUUCAUCUGAUCUAUCUAAUCCCCGCAACUUCAUCACAAAGAUCACUCGAUAUGAGAAGGUAGUUAAUAUUCCAAACUCUAUGACAAUCUUGGAUGAACUGCUUCCCAUUUCCAUUGAGAUGGCAAAGAGGAACCUCACUGGAAUCUGGAACUUUACAAACCCUGGGGCAGUCAGUCACAAUGAGAUUUUAGAGAUGUAUAAGGAUCAUGUUGACCCCAACUUCACAUGGAAAAACUUCACUCUUGAGGAGCAGGCAAAAGUAAUAGUUGCCCCAAGGAGUAAUAAUGAGCUUGAUGCCGCCAAAUUGAGUAAGGAAUUCCCUGAAAUGUUGCCAAUAAAGGAGUCCCUUAUCAAGUUUGUGUUCAAACCAAAUCAGAAGACUGCUGCUGCUUGAUGCAUCAAAUCAGAGGCCCAAAUUACUGUCCAUUAAGGGAUCUCUUGUUAAGUAUGUUUCAAACCAAUGAAAUGCCACUGGUUUAUAGGUUUGACAUUUUUGUCUUCCCUUUUGCUAUUGAUUACAUCUCGUUCAUGAGGGUUCAUGUGAUGCCUCACAGGUACCUCUUUCCAAAUGACACACAUGAUUGCACCUAUUAAUAUUUGAAUGUUGUAUUUGUAACUUGAUCUUGAAUAAAUUAGUUGCAAGUGAUUUAUCAGGUUAUAAAUAUAAUUUUGAUAGUUCAUUACUAUUGUAUGGCAUGAGCAGCCUUAAUUACUUUUGGAAAAAAUAAUCGUAUUUGUUUUGGUUUUGGAGUUUUCUUAUUGGUUUGAUCCAUUGUCAUUGCUUUAGACAGUAAAUGUUAGAGGAGCAUUUUCUAACAAUUUUUCGAAGCUCGAUUAAUUAUUAGAUUGUUAUCUCCACAAUUAUACUGUUUUUAUUGCAAACCAUGAUUCAUACUCUCCUUUUUAUUUAAUUUUGUAAGUGUGAACUUCCCAACUAAUAUUUUCUGAUUAUUUUGUUGAAGGAUUUAUCGAGUUGGGGCAAGCAGAUAUUAAGUGUAUGAUUUAACCUUUUUUUUUUUAUAUACUUUAUUUGUGUGAAAUGAUUUGGUUCAUUUGGGAGUAGAAAUUGUGUAGAAAAACUGUAUGUAUGUUGCUAUACACUCAUUUUGCAGUGGUGUUGUUCCUUUUGGCACUAUUUGAAUCAAUAUUUUCUUUCCUGGCUACAGAAAAAAAAGGAAAGAUGCUCUGUUCUUUAUCUGAUGGCUGGAGCCUGCUGGACGAUUUUUAGAAACUGUUUCUGCUAAUUGGGCCUUUUUUUUUUUUUUGGCAAUGGACCAUCUGGCCUACUGGUUAGCUGGUUUCGUGCGAUUUGCCGCCAGUGUAUUGUGAUAAAUGACUGACAAGCUGCAGAGGGAAAAAGGACCUAACUUGCACAUUCUCAAAAGGCCUUUUCCGGGUAAAUAUCAUAAAGCAAUCACAACUGCAGACAGAUACAGGCCAAACCAUCUGAAAAGCAACGAAAUUCUUGUGCAGAAUUUAGUUGCGUCCAAGGAUGCCAUUCUUGUGAUACAUGGAAGGACCAUCGAAUUUGGUUGUUUUCCAAGGAAUGCCAUGGGAAGAAUUAGCAGCUCCAGGGGGAAUAUUGAACACAAUUAAUGGGCUUCUCACCACAUGAAACCCAUCUUUCCAUGUGAUUGCACCUGACAUGAUUGGUUGCUGCAUUAGCUUUGGGCCGUUCACCUUCACUGUGAAGCUUCUCUUCUCUCCUAUUGCAGAGAAUGAGAGAACAGGAGGCUCCACAGUGACACUAACCAUGCUUGGCAUGUACAUGUUGAGAAUGUAGGAUGAAUUUGGUGUGCCAACAUUGGUAACUGUCCUAGUAAAGACUCCCUCAACGGGUUGGCCAUCUUCCACAGCUAAAGCAAAUGUGGGGUAAUUAAGGUCCCAAGCUCUUCCAGGCUCUGAGCUAUUACAAACGCUACUGUUGCUGCCAGUAAUCCAUCGGACGGUGGUACUGUUGUAACCCUGCUUGCAGAGAAAGUUAGUGUAGUCUGCUUCAGAUGCAUCGUAAACAAGUCCAGGUUCUACCGCUUGCAAUGGAUUGAUGUGGCCAGACCCAUAAGCGAAUUCAAGGUCCCUGUGCUUCCUCGAGUCCAUGAUGUAAGCUGUUUGUAGAAACAAAACAGUUUAGAUGGGGAGACCAGAUAAAAUUCUUUGUAGUUGUGUUAGCAAAAUCUUAUCAAUACAAGAAAAUAACAAAGUUUUCUACCUGUGGUCAUGAGGGCGGACUUAAUGGCAGCAGCAGACCAGUCAGGGUGUGCAGCCUUGACAUAGGCGGCAGCACUAGUGGCGUGAGGGCAAGACACAGAUGUGCCUGACACUAUGUUGAACUUCACACUCCUUGAGUCCUCCCAGUAAAUAGAAGGUGGUGCCAAAGGAGACCAGGAAGCAAGGAUGUCCACACCCGGAGCAGUGAGAUCAGGCUGUGUACUUGUGUAAAAGUUCGAGAAAAAUACUCAAAGAUAGAAAGAAAGAACUGUUGUGAAUCAAAGCUUCCAAAUCUCUUGAUUACCUUGAGAAUGUCUAGGGUGAUAGGGUGGGGUCCUCUCGGAGAGAAUGAUGCAAUGCAAGGGGCCAUGACAUCCUUCCAAGUCUCACCAACCAGAAUAGUUGCAAUAGGAUUGCUGAAAUAAAACUUGUAAGGGAUAAUUGAAAGCAACAUCAGUGAUAGAUGAAUCAGCCAUAAUGGCACCAACACCAUUAGCUAAAAGAAUGCCAGAACCAUCCCAAAGGGUUUCACAGAAGACCAUUUUCCCAGCUACCUUGUAUGAAUUCAUAUAUCCAGGUAUGCAAUAUCUUGAAAUGUCUGAGUUAGCACCUGCUGAGUAGUUUGCUGCAUCUCCUCCCCAAAUCAAAGGAUAUGAGGUCUCAUUAAGCUCAAAGCUAUUAAUGGAGAGUCCCUUUUUCAUAUCAUCAAAAUAUCAUUUAAAUUACUUGUGGAAUCAGCCAAAGAUUAAUGAGAGAUCUAUUUUUAACAAUCUAUAACUUCGCUAGUGAACUCACAGUGUAGAUUUUUCCAUUUCCAAGCACAGCUUUUGCCACAAAUUUCCUGUCAAUGGUGCUAGCAGCAACCGUCAACAGCCAUGGUGCAGAAUUGGAGACUGUAUAUGGAUAGGGUCCAGUAUUGCCAGCAGAAGUUGAGGUCAGUAUGCCAUAUCUCAUGGCAUGCAAGGCUCCAAUGGCGAUUGGGUCUAUGAAGUAUGCUGACGCCCAGUCAUCACCAAGGGAUACAGAUAUAAUGUCAACACCAUCAGCGAUGGCAUCAUCAAAGGCUGCCAUGAUAUCUGUGCUAGAACAUCCAAACGACCAACAAACUUUGUAGACAGCAAUCCUUGCAUUGGGAACUCCACCUCUUGCAAUUCCUUCAGCAAGCCCCAAGUAACUUGCUCCAGGCACCUCUCGUCCUGCUGCAGUAGAAGAAGUGUGGGUUCCAUGUCCCUCAGAGUCUCUAGGAGAUUUGAUGUCAAUCACAUCAUACUGGUUCAGGCUGUUGUAGUACCGGGCUCCUAUGAUCUUGCUGUAAUAAUUUUGCAUAUGGAAAUGUCACUAGUUGAGUCAAGCAUCAGAGUUAAAUACGUGUUGUGUGUGUAUGCUCUUCAACCUUCAUGGUACUAAAUAAUUAUUUAUAGAGAUGAAGAAGCUCACUUGUUGCAGGUGAAGUUAGCACCCUGGCAUGUUCCUUUCCAUUUAGCAGGAGGAGCACUCAUUCCUUCAUCAUCGAAGCUCUCAGAUUCUGGCCAUAUUCCUGUAAGAUAAAGAAUCCGAAAGCUCCAAUUAGUAGCACAUCAUCAAUCACAUUUUUCUGCAGAGUGAUCGAAGAAAAACCUGUAUCCAGAAGACCAAUAAUGACACGUCCUUCUUGAGAAGGUCCAAGUUUGCCUUGGGAGAAACCCAUGAAGUCCCAAGACCUUGUAGUGUGAAGCUUGAGUAUGCGGUUUGGAAUUACAGAGAUCACACCUUCCAUUUCUGUAGCAAUUUUGAAUUUUCAUUUAAUACUAGACACUAAAUCUGCGUUUUGCACGGGUA
RNAcentral lists this unclassified non-coding RNA (5033 nucleotides) under Hevea brasiliensis (rubber tree). Lineage: Eukaryota; Viridiplantae; Streptophyta; Magnoliopsida; Malpighiales; Euphorbiaceae. The record is from RNAcentral.